ACGACCUUACUUGAACAGGAUCUGUUCUAUAGGCUCGUACCUCUGUUUCCUUGAUUUCUAAGGAGACAGGCCCUUAACCCUGGUUGAUGAACCAUGACCGUGCGAUCAGAGCGUGAUUAACGGCUACGAUCGUCUUCGGACGCAUCCGAUGCUGUAGAGGAUCGUUACUCGGCUCGGUCUUCCUUGCCGGGGUGGUCGCACGGCGGUCUGACAGGUU
Arabidopsis lyrata subsp. lyrata is the source of this 217-nucleotide small nucleolar RNA. It matches the Rfam family "Plant small nucleolar RNA U3". Rfam says of the family: Small nucleolar RNAs (snoRNAs) are involved in the processing and modification of rRNA in the nucleolus. There are two main classes of snoRNAs: the box C/D class, and the box H/ACA class. U3 snoRNA is a member of the box C/D class. Lineage: Eukaryota; Viridiplantae; Streptophyta; Magnoliopsida; Brassicales; Brassicaceae. The record is from Rfam.